CAGCAGCCGCGGUAAUACGUAGGGUGCGAGCGUUAAUCGGAAUUACUGGGCGUAAAGCGUGCGCAGGCGGUUGUGUAAGACAGGUGUGAAAUCCCCGGGCUUAACCUGGGAACUGCGCUUGUGACUGCACAGCUAGAGUAUGGCAGAGGGGGGUGGAAUUCCACGUGUAGCAGUGAAAUGCGUAGAGAUGUGGAGGAACACCGAUGGCGAAGGCAGCCCCCUGAGCCAAUACUGACGCUCAUGCACGAAAGCGUGGGGAGCAAACAGGACUAGAUACCCGCGUAGUCCCUGUCUCUUAUAC
RNAcentral lists this ribosomal RNA (301 nucleotides) under uncultured bacterium. Its description in RNAcentral is "partial 16S ribosomal RNA". It matches the Rfam family "Bacterial small subunit ribosomal RNA", at positions 509 to 807 of the family's 1533-position model. The record is from RNAcentral.